AUAUUCCUCUUUCAGUCAUUCCUUCUCCAACAAUCAACACCUCAUACCUCAUAUGUUCAUGGGGCACCAACAUCCAACCAAACUCCAGAAAAUUCGCCCCCACAAGACUCAUUGCCAUUGUUACCUUUUUAUAAUUUUAGGUUAAUCUAUUUAACUUCCCAUAUGUGAAAAUUACAUAUAGGAUAACCAUACAUUCUUAGGUGGUGGAAAGACUAUCCACACACCAACCAAGUUAACCUUUGGCUAAUAAAGUAGCGGAAGUUAACAAGUCAAAAGAGACAACGAAGUGGCGCGAAGCAAAUACCAUAGCAACUGUUGUGGUUCUCACUUCCUUCACGUUAACAACUAUUACAAUCACAAUCAAAAUCCCAAACUAACUUUCAAUUCAACCCACAAAUAUCACCUCUCUCUCAAAACUCUUCUCCCACCGCUUCAUCCGUUCCAUUUUCAUGGCUUCCUUGUCUUUCACUCCUCACCCACUCGCCUUCGUCGCUUCUAACAGACUCCGGUUCGGCACCGGUUCGGAGUUCCAGUUCGUUAGGCUUCAGAAGAAUAAAAAACCCCGUUUCCCUGUCUGUAGAGCUGGUUCUUCUUUAGCCUUUCGUCACCUCGAUGCUGAUGAUUUUCGUCAUCCUCUUGAUAAACAGAAUACGCAGAUGCUGAGAGCGAUUCCGGGAUUGAAUCAACUGGGAAAAGCUCUUCUAGGAACUGUAACUGAGCAGGUUAUGUUCCUUGAGAAUAUAGGGACAUCUGUCCUUGUCUCCAAAAAUCAGCUUUCUGAUCUUCACAACUUAAUGGCGGAAGCUGCUGAAAUAUUAAAUGUCAGUGCCCCUGAUCUAUAUGUUCGUCAAAGUCCUGUGCCAAAUGCAUAUACAUUAGCUAUAAGUGGUAAACAACCGUUCGUUGUUAUUCACACUAGUCUAGUGGAGCUUCUGACAAGAGCGGAGUUGCAGGCUGUUUUGGCUCACGAGUUGGGUCACCUGAAAUGUGAUCAUGGCGUGUGGCUUACAUAUGCAAAUAUUCUAACCCUUGGAGCCUAUACUGUACCUGGCAUUGGAGGUAUUAUAGCUCAGACACUGGAAGAGCAGAUAUUCCGCUGGCUUCGAGCAGCUGAGUUAACUUGUGACCGUGCAGCUCUUCUCGUUGCUCAAGACCCUAAAGUUGUCAUCUCUGUGCUCAUGAAAUUAGCCGGUGGAUGCCCAUCUUUGGCUGAUCAACUAAAUGUUGAUGCGUUCCUGGAGCAAGCUCGAUCUUAUGAAAAAGCUGCUUCCAGCCCUGUUGGAUGGUACAUAAGGAAUGCUCAAACAAGGCAACUUUCACAUCCUCUGCCUGUUCUACGGGCUAAUGAAAUUGAUGAGUGGUCAAGAAGUUCAGCUUACAGAUCUCUUUUGAAACGUGGAAUACCUAUCAGAUCACAACAACAAAAAUUGUAGCUGUGCACACAUUGUUCAAAAUGCACUAUAGCUCAAGGCUGUUCAUGUUAAUGCGGGACCAAUCACAUACACUUAAGCUCCAACAAAAACAAAGUUAAUAACAUCCCAUUGAUAUCAGUAGCAGUUAUAUUACAGUUUCCUACUUGCCUCUGUGCUUGGUUCAGGAAGUACUUAAGAAGUCAUGCAUCAAUGGUGAAAGGUUCUGCAAAACAAUAAAGUUUAACUUAUUUUGGAUCUACAGCUGCUGCAAAACUAUCACCUCAUACUAAUACCUCAGAUCAGUAAAUCGAUACAUGUAUAUUCAUUUUGAUUGUUACUAUAUUGGUCAAGCUGUAAGUAGAAUUUUGAUUAUAAGAGGGAUUGUGUUUUUACUAGAAACACUGCCCUUUGAAAACAAAUAAUUACUUGUAUAUUAUCAGACAAGUUAGAAACUCUUAUGUAAAUUCCAUGAUUAAAAGAUUUAAGUGCUGUACCCUGUAUAAACAUUGUAUGAAUAAGUAAUUGAUAUGAUCUAUUAGAAUUUGAUAUAAACUUAACAAAA
Molecule: RNA transcript, 1974 nt
Organism: Lathyrus oleraceus (garden pea)
Lineage: Eukaryota; Viridiplantae; Streptophyta; Magnoliopsida; Fabales; Fabaceae
Gene name: plastoglobule-localized metallopeptidase 48, chloroplastic
Exons: 10
Source: RefSeq, a predicted model, not a curated record